CAGUCGCCGCGGGAACACGAAGGGGGCUAGCGUUGCUCGGAAUCACUGGGCGUAAAGGGUGCGUAGGCGGGUCUUUAAGUCAGGGGUGAAAUCCUGGAGCUCAACUCCAGAACUGCCUUUGAUACUGAAGAUCUUGAGUUCGGGAGAGGUGAGUGGAACUGCGAGUGUAGAGGUGAAAUUCGUAGAUAUUCGCAAGAACACCAGUGGCGAAGGCGGCUCACUGGCCCGAUACUGACGCUGAGGCACGAAAGCGUGGGGAGCAAACAGGAUUAGAUACCCCGGUAGUCCCUGUCUCUUAUAC
RNAcentral lists this ribosomal RNA (301 nucleotides) under uncultured bacterium. RNAcentral describes it as "partial 16S ribosomal RNA". It matches the Rfam family "Bacterial small subunit ribosomal RNA", at positions 509 to 807 of the family's 1533-position model. The record is from RNAcentral.